GACGAACGCUGGCGGCGUGCUUAACACAUGUAAGUCGAACGGAAAGGCCCUGCUUUUGUGGGGUGCUCGAGUGGCGAACGGGUGAGUAACACGUGAGUAACCUGCCCUUGACUUUGGGAUAACUUCAGGAAACUGGGGCUAAUACCGGAUAGGAGCUCCUGCUGCAUGGUGGGGGUUGGAAAGUUUCGGCGGUUGGGGAUGGACUCGCGGCUUAUCAGCUUGUUGGUGGGGUAGUGGCUUACCAAGGCUUUGACGGGUAGCCGGCCUGAGAGGGUGACCGGCCACAUUGGGACUGAGAUACGGCCCAGACUCCUACGGGAGGCAGCAGUGGGGAAUAUUGCACAAUGGGCGGAAGCCUGAUGCAGCAACGCCGCGUGCGGGAUGACGGCCUUCGGGUUGUAAACCGCUUUCGCCUGUGACGAAGCGUGAGUGACGGUAAUGGGUAAAGAAGCAACGGCUAACUACGUG
RNAcentral lists this ribosomal RNA (468 nucleotides) under uncultured bacterium. RNAcentral describes it as "partial 16S ribosomal RNA". It matches the Rfam family "Bacterial small subunit ribosomal RNA", at positions 28 to 507 of the family's 1533-position model. The record is from RNAcentral.